This 131-nucleotide small nucleolar RNA is filed under the name Callorhinchus milii (elephant shark). RNAcentral describes it as "Small nucleolar RNA SNORA28 (ENSCMIG00000016269.1)". Lineage: Eukaryota; Metazoa; Chordata; Chondrichthyes; Chimaeriformes; Callorhinchidae. The record is from RNAcentral.
AAGCUACACUCUGUGUCAGAAACCAACCGUGAUCUGAUGCUAUUUCUGCUUGCUACAAUAAACAUAGUCUCAUUCAGUUGCAGUCUCUUCUAAGUGAGACCUGCUGUGCUGUUUAUGCUGACUGUUACAUG